UNUANCGAAGAACCUUACCUGGGUUUGACAUGUCGGGAAAUCCUGCAGAGAUGUGGGGGCCUUCGGGCGUCCGGCACAGGUGGUGCAUGGCUGUCGUCAGCUCGUGUCGUGAGAUGUUGGGUUAAGUCCCGCAACGAGCGCAACCCUUGUCCCAUGUUGCCAGCGGGUUAUGCCGGGGACUCAUGGGAGACUGCCGGGGUCAACUCGGAGGAAGGUGGGGAUGACGUCAAGUCAUCAUGCCCCUUAUGUCCAGGGCUUCACGCAUGCUACAAUGGCCGGUACAGAGGGUUGCGAUACAGUGAUGUGGAGCGAAUUUCUUAAAGCCGGUCUCAGUUCGGAUCGGGGUCUGCAACUCGACCCCGNGAAGUCGGAGUCGCUAGUAAUCGCAGAUCAG
Molecule: ribosomal RNA, 394 nt
Filed under: uncultured bacterium
Lineage: Bacteria
Description: bacterial SSU rRNA
Rfam family: Bacterial small subunit ribosomal RNA
Source: RNAcentral